ACUAACUUAACAUAUAUUAAUGUGAAAGAUUGUAAAUCUUUUAAAAGCGAGAUGCUAGUUAGAA
Molecule: transfer RNA, 64 nt
Filed under: Cladotaenia vulturi
Lineage: Eukaryota; Metazoa; Platyhelminthes; Cestoda; Cyclophyllidea; Paruterinidae
Description: tRNA-Tyr
Source: RNAcentral